GUCCACGCCGUAAACGUUGGGAACUAGGUGUGGGCGACAUUCCACGUUGUCCGUGCCGCAGCUAACGCAUUAAGUUCCCCGCCUGGGGAGUACGGCCGCAAGGCUAAAACUCAAAGGAAUUGACGGGGGCCCGCACAAGCGGCGGAGCAUGUGGCUUAAUUCGACGCAACGCGAAGAACCUUACCAAGGCUUGACAUACACCGGAAAGCGCCAGAGAUGGUGCCCCCCUUGUGGUCGGUGUACAGGUGGUGCAUGGCUGUCGU
This 263-nucleotide ribosomal RNA is filed under the name uncultured bacterium. RNAcentral describes it as "partial 16S ribosomal RNA". It matches the Rfam family "Bacterial small subunit ribosomal RNA", at positions 793 to 1055 of the family's 1533-position model. The record is from RNAcentral.